GGAGGGUGCAAGCGUUAUCCGGAUUUAUUGGGUUUAAAGGGUCCGUAGGCGGACUCGUAAGUCAGUGGUGAAAUCUCACAGCUCAACUGUGAAACUGCCAUUGAUACUGCGGGUCUUGAGUAAGGUAGAAGUGGCUGGAAUAAGUAGUGUAGCGGUGAAAUGCAUAGAUAUUACUUAGAACACCAAUUGCGAAGGCAGGUCACUAUGUCUUAACUGACGCUGAUGGACGAAAGCGUGGGGGAGCGAACAGGAUUAGAUACCCUGGUAGUCCACGCCGUAAACGAUGCUAACUCGUUUUUGGGUCUUCGGAUUCAGAGACUAAGCGAAAGUGAUAAGUUAGCCACCUGGGGAGUACGUUCGCAAGAAUG
This 368-nucleotide ribosomal RNA is filed under the name uncultured organism. RNAcentral describes it as "partial 16S ribosomal RNA". It matches the Rfam family "Bacterial small subunit ribosomal RNA", at positions 527 to 896 of the family's 1533-position model. The record is from RNAcentral.